Molecule: long non-coding RNA, 247 nt
Filed under: Mytilus galloprovincialis (Mediterranean mussel)
Lineage: Eukaryota; Metazoa; Mollusca; Bivalvia; Mytilida; Mytilidae
Source: RNAcentral
CGUAAAUGCAAUCAUCAAUAAAUGAUAAUACUCUAAUGUCUUCAGAGAAACACUUUACAAGGAACCUAAACUACUCAAAUGGCAGAUUUUUUUUAAGGACAUUCAAGGGAAAAAACCUCCUCCAACCAUAAAAUUGUUAUCUCAAUCUGAACGGCUUUUAAUAGUUUUAAUAAGAGAAUUAUCUCAGUAAGAAAAAACUUGAAGUUUAGCAGUUAUGAAUGUUACAUCUUUUGGCUUUUGGUUUGGC